This 253-nucleotide ribosomal RNA is filed under the name uncultured bacterium. RNAcentral's name for it is "partial 16S ribosomal RNA". It matches the Rfam family "Bacterial small subunit ribosomal RNA", at positions 524 to 776 of the family's 1533-position model. The record is from RNAcentral.
UACGGGGGGGGUAAGCGUUGUUCGGAAUUACUGGGCGUAAAGGGCUCGUAGGCGGCCAACUAAGUCGGACGUGAAAUCCCUCAGCUUAACUGGGGAACUGCGUCCGAUACUGGAUGGCUUGGAUUUGGGAGAGGGAUGCGGAACUCCAGGUGUAGCGGUGAAAUGCGUAGAUAUCUGGAGGAACACCGGUGGCGAAGGCGGCAUCCUGGACCAAUAUUGACGCUGAGGAGCGAAAGCUAGGGGAGCAAACGGG